AGGCAUCAAUAUACCAGUCAAAAGCUCAAACCUCAAAGCAGGCCAAGGCGCAGCAGGAAGUGUCAAGUCAUAGGGCAGUACACUCAAGCGCGCCAUUACCUCGCAAACCAGAGGAACAACCCAAACCUCUUUUCCGAAAACCCGUACAGGAAGAAAGUACGGGAGACACAGAAGAAGGAGGUGAGGUCCCAAACUGGCUGGUAGGCAUGGAUGCUUUGCACAAAUCGCUGAUGGUAAAACCAGCACCUCUGAAGUUCAGGCUACCCAGGCUCCAGGUUUAUGAUGGGAAAAUGGACCCAGCGGACCACAUAAAUAUGUUCGUAG
RNAcentral lists this long non-coding RNA (324 nucleotides) under Zostera marina. RNAcentral describes it as "long non-coding RNA (ZMAR_LNC005133)". Lineage: Eukaryota; Viridiplantae; Streptophyta; Magnoliopsida; Alismatales; Zosteraceae. The record is from RNAcentral.